This 290-nucleotide unclassified non-coding RNA is filed under the name fungal sp. Its description in RNAcentral is "partial internal transcribed spacer region". The stretch from base 1 to 46 matches the Rfam family "Eukaryotic small subunit ribosomal RNA", at positions 1786 to 1831 of the family's 1831-position model. The record is from RNAcentral. Lineage: Eukaryota; Fungi.
AAGUCGUAACAAGGUUUCCGUAGGUGAACCUGCGGAAGGAUCAUUAACACGUAUCCAACGUUAAACAACCCUGUGAACUUUCAACACCGCCGGAAUGAGAUUAAUUUCCAACUCCGGUGAAGGCAAGUGACCUGGCACCUGGACCACAUCAAAGCUCUCACGGCCGGCGACUGGGUCAGCGAGCUAACGCUCCCUCAACAACCACUUAACAUGACGACAGUUCCUCUUUAACUUGAGUUGAGCUAUAACAAAAAACUAUACAACUGUUAACAAUGGAUAUCUUGGUUCUC